ACCGACAAAUGGCAAACCGGCUGAAAAACCGGGACGCAAAGCCAGGAGGCUAAAGCGGAGUCCGCUCCGCCACGCCCGUCCGGCCGCCGCA
Molecule: regulatory RNA element, 91 nt
Rfam family: c-di-GMP-I riboswitch aptamer
About the family: GEMM was predicted in a large-scale screen for bacterial structured RNA regulatory elements.
Source: Rfam